Molecule: ribosomal RNA, 410 nt
Filed under: Scopimera bitympana
Lineage: Eukaryota; Metazoa; Arthropoda; Malacostraca; Decapoda; Dotillidae
Description: partial 16S large subunit ribosomal RNA
Rfam family: Bacterial large subunit ribosomal RNA
Source: RNAcentral
AUAUUUUGAAGGGCCGCGGUAUAUUGACCGUGCAAAGGUAGCAUAAUAGUUAGGUUUUUAAUUGAGAUCUUGUAUGAAUGGUCUGACAAGGAAAGAUCUGUCUUUAUAUUGUUGAUUGAAAUUAACUUUUAAGUGAAAAGGCUUAAAUAGCUUAAGGGGACGAUAAGACCCUAUAAAACGUUAUGUUGGGGCGACAUGAAUAAAAUUGAUAACUGUUUAGUAUAUAGAGACAAGUAUUUGUGUAAUGAUCCUAGAUUAUAGAUUAAUAGAUUAAGUUACUUUAGGGAUAACAGCGUUAUUUUUUUUGAGAGUACUUAUCGAAAAAAAAGUUUGCGACCUCGAUGUUGAAUUAAAAUUUCUAUACAAUUGCAGAAGUUGUAUAAGAAGGUCUGUUCGACCUUUAAAUUUUU